Molecule: unclassified non-coding RNA, 117 nt
Organism: Papio anubis (olive baboon)
Lineage: Eukaryota; Metazoa; Chordata; Mammalia; Primates; Cercopithecidae
Rfam family: Metazoan signal recognition particle RNA
About the family: The signal recognition particle (SRP) is a universally conserved ribonucleoprotein.
Source: Ensembl
GCUGGGUGCGGUGGCUCACACCUGUAAUCCCAGCACUUUGGGAGGCUGAGGUGGGCGGAUCACCUGAGGUCAGGAGUUCAAGACCAGCCUGACCAACAUGGUGAAACCCCGUCUCUA